This 495-nucleotide ribosomal RNA is filed under the name uncultured bacterium. Its description in RNAcentral is "partial 16S ribosomal RNA". It matches the Rfam family "Bacterial small subunit ribosomal RNA", at positions 28 to 507 of the family's 1533-position model. The record is from RNAcentral.
GACGAACGCUGGCGGCGUGCCUAAUACAUGCAAGUAGAACGCUGAAGGAGGAGCUUGCUUCUCCGGAUGAGUUGCGAACGGGUGAGUAACGCGUAGGUAACCUGCCUGGUAGCGGGGGAUAACUAUUGGAAACGAUAGCUAAUACCGCAUAACAGUAGAUGUUGCAUGACAUUUGCUUAAAAGGUGCAAUUGCAUCACUACCAGAUGGACCUGCGUUGUAUUAGCUAGUUGGUGAGGUAACGGCUCACCAAGGCGACGAUACAUAGCCGACCUGAGAGGGUGAUCGGCCACACUGGGACUGAGACACGGCCCAGACGCCUACGGGAGGCAGCAGUAGGGAAUCUUCGGCAAUGGACGGAAGUCUGACCGAGCAACGCCGCGUGAGUGAAGAAGGUGUUCGGAUCGUAAAGCUCUGUUGUAAGAGAAGAACGAGUGUGAGAGUGGAAAGUUCACACUGUGACGGUAUCUUACCAGAAAGGGACGGCUAACUACGUG